Molecule: long non-coding RNA, 1669 nt
Organism: Oncorhynchus tshawytscha (Chinook salmon)
Lineage: Eukaryota; Metazoa; Chordata; Actinopteri; Salmoniformes; Salmonidae
Source: Ensembl
CCUCUCCCCCACUCAGGUGCAGCUCCUGAAGGAUCAGAUGUCAGCGGGGACCGCAACUUGUAUAGAGGCCCAGGCCCGAGCCCACCAGCUGCUACUACAGAACAGAGACCUGCUCCAGCACCUGGCCCCUCUGGUCACACAGCUCAAAGACCUGGAGAGCAGGGCACCUGGACUGGGACAGGGGAGAGACACACACUGGGAGAGGGGUACAAUGAUCAGGAGUUGUCAUGGACGACCAGGUCCCUGUCACUCAACCUGAAGAACCACUACAGUUUCAACACGGAUCAGCCCAUCACCUCCACCCCCACAGAGCCGUUUCAAAACACCACCUUCUCCGUCGCCCAAGUGGACUGUGCUGAGUCCUACCUCGACCUCCUCAACCUGGAAAACAGGACCAAACCACCAGGCUCUCAAAAUGGGGGGGACAGAGACAGACACCCUCGUCAGAAGAUGAGCCAAUGGAAAACCAGGGAGGAGAAAGAGCUCUAUAGUGUUGUCCAAUGAGAUUGUGCAGUUAGAAUCAAAGAAUUCUACAAACCUGGAUGAAAGCUAGCUGCUCUCCGAUUGGCUUCUCCUGGCUAACGUCUCUGACCCGAAGCAAGCACCAAUUAACCUGGAGCUAACCUAUGCUAGGCCCAUCUCCUGGCUUGCUGAAGAAGUCCAUAAGCCACUCCUUGGGCUACAAUACCUAUUUUUGGCAAUUGGCCUGGACCCCUUUUAUUGCCGAUACGGAGCCCUGCCGAUCCUUCACGACUGGACUACUGACAUAAUCCGCCCGAGGGGCUUUCAACUGUCUCCCCUGUCGCGACGUAGCUGAAUGCCCAUCUGCUAGCCUGCUUGCCGCGGCCCGCUAGCUGUCUAAAGCACACUGAACAGUUAGUUGAACAAGUCCAACAGCACGUUUUUUUGGGCUACUAUACCUAUUAUGCCAAUUGGCAUGGACCCUUCUACUACACGGAGCCCUGCUGAUCCAUCAUGACUGAUCUGCUGACGUAACCGCACAAAGGGGUUGCAACUGACUUCUUCCGUCGUGCCGUCUCUCUAAGGCCCUUCUGCUAACCUGCUAGCCCCGGCCCGCUACCAUGUCUGAAUCGCCAUGUCUCCAGCUCGCCCAGCUACUCACUGGACCCAAUGAUCACUCGGCUACGCAUGCCUCUCCCUAAUGUCAAUAUGCCUUGUCCAUUGCUGUUUUGGUUAGUUAUUAUUGCCUUAUUUCAUUGUAGAGCCUCUAGCCCUGCUCAAUACGCCUUAGCGAACCAUUUAGUUCCACCUCCCACACAUGCCUCCGCAACCUCACCUGGUUGAAAUGAUGUUUCUAGAGUCGAUAUCUCACUCAAUGUAUAAGUUUACCUCCACUGUAUUCACAUCCUACCAUACCUUUCUCUGUACAUUAUUACUUGACUCUAUUCUACCGUGCCCAGAAACCUGCUCCUUUUACUCUCUGUUCCGAACGUAGUAGACGACCAGUUCUUAUUGCUUUUAGCCGUACCCUUAUCCUACUCCUCUGUUCCUCUAGUGAUGUAGAGGUUAACCCAGGCCCUGCAGUGCCUAGCUCCACUCCCAUUCCCCAGGCGCUCUCAUUGGUUGACUUCUGUAACUGUAAAAGCCUUGGUUUCAUGCAUGUUAACAUUAGAAGCCUACUCCCUAAGUUUGUUUUAUUCACUGCUUU